Molecule: long non-coding RNA, 736 nt
Filed under: Macaca fascicularis (crab-eating macaque)
Lineage: Eukaryota; Metazoa; Chordata; Mammalia; Primates; Cercopithecidae
Description: lncRNA (ENSMFAG00000054219.1)
Source: RNAcentral
AUGGCAGAUUUGCCACUCUAUGCUGCCAAGGACCCAGUCAACACUGACUUGAUUCUAGAACCACUUUUCUCAUCUUCUUGCCUACCAACCCCCAGGCCCCAGGUGCCCGAGAAACAUCUCUCUAAACUCACAGCUGCCUGCGGUUCCCCUGUAAGCACGUUGUUUGCUUCAUUUCCUCAUAAGGACCCACGGAGGCAUGGAGACAGCUAUUGCUCCCACUUGCUAGGAGAGGAGAGUGAGGCAAAGAGGAGUUUCAUGGAUCCCAGCUUCCAUCCCAGUCUCUGACUCAGCAUGGAGAAUGGUCCACACCUCCCUACAGCUACAGGUCACGUUUCCUUGUGUAGCUUAAGCUGACCGGACCUUGGAACUCACACUUGAUUCCAUCCCUGCCUCUGCUGAAUGGCCUUCUUUCUGAGGUGGAUAUCCUCAGGGUCCACCAUCCGCAGGCCACAAAACCUUCCUACAUCCUGGGCUGGAAACAUCUUGCCUUCCCUGCAUGCCCAGCACCAUCUCUCCAUCCUCCUGGGGCAGUUGGUGCUUUAGGCUUCGUAUCGGAAUCCCUGUCAUAGGUCUGUUGGCUCCCGUUCUAGAUUGCCAGUUUCUUCAAGUUAAGGUGCCAGUCUAAGUGAUUGUCCGAAGUGAGGCCCUUUGGGAGGGAGCGAGACUGCUACUGAUAAGUACUCCUGGGCAGCAGGUAGAGUCUGGGACUGUCCCAGGCAAGCCACACUGUCUAGAC